CUUGGUGGCCAUGGUGCCGGGGAAACACCCGAUCCCAUUCCGAACUCGGAAGUUAAGCCUGGACACGCCGAUGGUACUACGUGGGCAGCUGCGUGGGAGAGUAGGUCGCCGCCAAGA
Molecule: ribosomal RNA, 117 nt
Filed under: Candidatus Rifleibacteriota bacterium
Lineage: Bacteria; Candidatus Rifleibacteriota
Source: RNAcentral